GAGGUGGGCCAGGCGACCGCGGGGCGCCCCGGCAACGGGACGCCAUGAGGAAAGUCCGGGCUCCACAGGGCAGGAUGCCGGCUAACGGCCGGGCGGGGUAACCCGACGGAAAGCGCCGCAGAAAAGAAGACUCCCACUGGCGAAGGAGGCGCCGCGCGCGCCGAAACGCAAAGGGAAAAGCUGAAACGGUGGUGUAAGAGACCACCAGCGUCGUGGCAACACGGCGGCUUGGCAAGCCCCAUCCGGAGCAAACGCAAAUAGGAGCGCCAUGGUGUGGCCCGCACUGCGCUCGGGUUGCGCGCUUGAGGCGGACGGUGACGUCCGUCCUAGAUAAAUGGCCGCCCACGACAGAACCCGGCUUAUCGGCCCACCUCGCAC
RNAcentral lists this RNase P RNA (378 nucleotides) under Olsenella sp. An290. Its description in RNAcentral is "RNase P RNA component class A". It matches the Rfam family "Bacterial RNase P class A". From Rfam's summary of the family: Ribonuclease P (RNase P) is a ubiquitous endoribonuclease, found in archaea, bacteria and eukarya as well as chloroplasts and mitochondria. Its best characterised activity is the generation of mature 5'-ends of tRNAs by cleaving the 5'-leader elements of precursor-tRNAs. The record is from RNAcentral. Lineage: Bacteria; Bacillati; Actinomycetota; Coriobacteriia; Coriobacteriales; Atopobiaceae.